UACGUAGGAUGCAAGCGUUGUCCGGAUUUACUGGGCGUAAAGCGCGCGCAGGCGGCACUCUAAGUACGCUGUGAAAUAUCCCGGCUCAACCGGGAGGGUGCAGUGUAGACUAGGGAGCUAGAGUGCAGUAGGGGAGACUGGAAUUCCUGGUGUAGCGGUGAAAUGCGCAGAUAUCAGGAGGAACACCGAUGGCGAAGGCAGGUCUCUGGGCUGUAACUGACGCUGAGGAGCGAAAGCGUGGGGAGCGAACAGG
RNAcentral lists this ribosomal RNA (253 nucleotides) under uncultured bacterium. Its description in RNAcentral is "partial 16S ribosomal RNA". It matches the Rfam family "Bacterial small subunit ribosomal RNA", at positions 524 to 776 of the family's 1533-position model. The record is from RNAcentral.